Molecule: non-coding RNA, 28 nt
Filed under: Mus musculus (house mouse)
Lineage: Eukaryota; Metazoa; Chordata; Mammalia; Rodentia; Muridae
Also listed under: 12 other names
Source: RNAcentral
GUCGGGAUAGCUCAGCUGGUAGAGCAGA